AUUGAACGCUGGCGGCAUGCCUUACACAUGCAAGUCGAACGGUAACAGGUCUUCGGAUGCUGACGAGUGGCGAACGGGUGAGUAAUACAUCGGAACGUGCCCGAUCGUGGGGGAUAACGAAGCGAAAGCUUUGCUAAUACCGCAUAAGAUCCAAGGAUGAAAGCAGGGGACCGCAAGGCCUUGCGCGAACGGAGCGGACGAUGGCAGAUUAGGUAGUUGGUGGGAUAAAAGCUUACCAAGCCGACGAGCUGUAGCUGGUCUGAGAGGACGACCAGCCACACUGGGACUGAGACACGGCCCAGACUCCUACGGGAGGCAGCAGUGGGGAAUUUUGGACAAUGGGCGAGAGCCUGAUCCAGCCAUGCCGCGUGCAGGAUGAAGGCCUUCGGGUUGUAAACUGCUUUUGUACGGAACGAAAAGACUCUGGUUAAUACCUGGGGUCCAUGACGGUACCGUAAGAAUAAGCACCGGCUAACUACGUGCCAGCAGCCGCGGUAA
RNAcentral lists this ribosomal RNA (498 nucleotides) under uncultured bacterium. Its description in RNAcentral is "partial 16S ribosomal RNA". It matches the Rfam family "Bacterial small subunit ribosomal RNA", at positions 30 to 523 of the family's 1533-position model. The record is from RNAcentral.